This 3110-nucleotide long non-coding RNA is filed under the name Trifolium pratense (red clover). Its description in RNAcentral is "long non-coding RNA (TPRA_LNC001590)". The record is from RNAcentral. Lineage: Eukaryota; Viridiplantae; Streptophyta; Magnoliopsida; Fabales; Fabaceae.
UUGUUCUUUCAAAUGCAACAUGAAUUGAUGUUCAAACAUGGUUGGGAAGAACCGACAAUUUAUUUGAAGCAUCAAUGAAUAAUCUGUAGAAGCUAAGGAAGCUCUUUUUGCUUGAGAUCAACUGAUGAAAAUGAGGUAAUUGAUGUGAAAUUUGCAAUAGUUAAUAAUCUUGUUUUGUUUUUCCUCAAGGGGGAUUGUUAAUUUGGCUUGGGUGGUAUGUUGGGGUGUGCUGGCGUUCUUGAUUUAUUCUAGGCACUUUGGUCGCCUUGCAAUUUCCUUGUUCGUUAGACUUCAGUCUCAAAGUUAAUGGUAGUAAUCGCAAGUUCUGGUCUUAUUUCGGUUCAGGUUUUGCAUCAUUUGCUUAGCAGUGGUGGGGUUUAUGAUUUAUUAUUUUUUGUGGAUGGUAGAAACCAAUGAGUCCUGCAAACGGAAACAGUAGAGACAAUUCCAUGAAUGCCAGGAAACAGAAGCAAUUAUAAUAAUAGGGUGUGUAUUAUUUGAUAAUAAAAGAUAAAUAGCAGUAGAGGGUUACUCUAACUACUCCCAGAGCACAGCUCCGACACAACUCAGAGAGGAAUCGUACUCUGGCCUUAACCUAAAAUAUUCUAUUCUCUACCUCUAGAACCCUAGAGUCUUUUCUUAAAUACUAUUAAGAAAAUUAAAACGAAAUAAUAUCUUUACUAAGAAGAUACUAUUCUAUAGUACUAACGAAAUAAAUUACAUAAUAUCUUUCUUUUAUAAUACUAUUAAAAUAUUCCUACUACUUAGACACCCUAUUUAAUUACUUAAAUACCUCCGUCGUACUUAGCCACUAUUUUUCUUAACCUUCCUUUCAUAAACUCUCCAUAUUUUGGGUUUGCCAAUAAUACCCUUUUCCGCAGUGGUCCCAUCAGUGGAGUUCACUCAUGUAGUUCAUUUUUUUGUUGAGGGAGUUAGUGAUUUGCGUCUGUGCAAGUGUAUGGAGGAGGCGAAGGCUAGGCUGUCUUUAUUUUUCAGUCUGAGUCGUGGCAUCCUCUGUGCAUUUCUUCUGUCACUCUUGUAGUUUAUGUUUUGACAUCUGAUCUGACUAAGCGUAUUGUGCUUCUCAUGGUAGUCAUUGGUAGGUGUGCUAAGUGUAUUUUUCUUUCUAUGGACAUGCUGCUUGUGUAUCUCUUCUGUCAUGUGCAUUUUUUGUGCCUUUGACUCUUUUUAUUUUAAUAAAUUUCUUUUUGCCCUUGCAAAAAUAAUAAUAAUAAUCUGGUUUUUUUUUCUUUUUUUCUUUCAUCAUCCUCAUGUAUAAUCCAGAAACUGAGGAUAUAGGAUGCAUUCAGCUGAAGAGAUUUUCUUCAAAUCUUUCUCACUUUGGGUCCAUGAUAAUAAUAUGCCGCUACCAAAUAAAACUCAUUAUUAUGGAUGAUAAUUUGAAAUGAACUAUAUACUUCAGCAUCAUUUUCCUGUUUCUGCACUUGGCCUUAAUUCAUACCAUGUAUUGUUAAUGGUGGUUUCAGCUCAUCAACAACCUCAUGAUGUUUCAAAUCAUGCAAAUGGAAGUACGGAACCACUGGGUGGGAGUUGACACUUGUUACGACCCGAAGUUCAAAUGAGAGUGCUGAAGCAACUAGCAAAUUGGUAUGCUUUCUUCAUCCAUAGGCUGAGUAAUUAUUUUAUUUUCCGGUCUUUUACUAGUGUUGUUUGGGAUUGUUCUAGAUUGGGUUUGAAGAGGAUUACUUUGGUGUUUCUGAUAAAGUGGGCUGUGAGGGAUUCAAUGACUCAGCUUGCAAGUAAGUAUCUAUUAAUGAUUCAUGGGUUUGUUAUCUAUUGUUGAAGAUCAUAAAUCAAGAAAUUUAAAUAUCUUAUUCUUAAAUUUUUUAUACGGUGGCCUGCGAGGAUUUGUGCAAGAGAAUUAAUUUCUCUCAAGUUCAAGCAGUUGGAGAAUUUAGCCUAUAAAAAAUGUCCUAAUUGUGUAGUUCAUGUGUUUGUUUGAUGUGUUAGUAAAAGUUUAACACAUCAAAGUAGAAAUUAUUAAGUUAGCGUUCAAUUUUAUUACACUACUCUUAGGUGUUUUGUAAGGGAAAAGCUUUUUCUUAAGAAAAUUUUAAGAGAAGGAAUGCAAGAAUAAAUCUUCACCCUUAUUUACAUCCACUACCCCCCAUGAUUUUCACAAAAGAAGCAGAUUAAAGUGACACCAUCUUUUAAGAUAUUGCCAUGUGUUUGAUUCUUGUAUUUCUUCUUUUGAAUCCUUCGUAACAAAUAGCAUCGCUCGUUUUGUAAUAGAUGUUUUUGUAAGGUUCAAUUUGGUCACACUACUCUAUAUUAAUUUGGUAUGACAUUAUAUUAAUUCUAAGUUUAUGUUUUAGAUUAUUACUCUAUGUAAAACUGUGGUACAUGGUUAUAUUUAAAAUACUGGUUGACAUAUAGAAAGUAAUAUAAUGAUGGUGUGCAGCUGUAUAUUCUGCAUAUAUGCAGGAUUUUUUUUUUAAUAAAAAAAAUCACUUGUUAGGUUGGUUAAAGAAGGCUGACUUGUUUCAAAAAAAAAAUAAAAGCUGACUUAAAAAAAUGCUUCUUAGGUCGGGUGCAUAUGCAAUUUUGAGGUUAUGGAUACCACGCCUUCUAAAGUCGGGUGAGGUGUGACCGACCUAACAAGUUUUUAUUGAGUCAAUUCAAAAUUUGACUUAACAAGUCAAAACUUGUUAUGUCGCCAACUCUUAAGUCAGGUACGGAACCGAUUUAAAAAGCCUUUUUUGCACUAGUGGCAUGUUGGUGUGACUAGAAAUCUGGGCCCCUCUUCAUGUUCGGGGCUUAACAACCAGAUAUUUGCUUACUAAGGUGACAUAUCUUGGUUUCUUCUUUCUUUAAGCAAUCCAUAGGACUAGGAGAGUGUGAUGUAUUUAACUAUCAUGCUGCUCUGUGCUGGUAAGUUAUUUCUUCUAUUAUUGAUAAUUUAAUAUACUUUUCUUCUAACUAAUCUAUGAUUUCAAUGACAGUUCCUUCUGUAUGGAGAGCCAAACAGAAGCAGCUUUUACUUGGUCAAUUUGCCACAAUGGAUUUUGAUUCCUGGAUGGUUAAGUUUUGUGAUUGCAAACUUAAAAGGUCAUAAGUCUAACUCUCACCAACAAAACUACCUGCGGCAC